RNAcentral lists this ribosomal RNA (251 nucleotides) under uncultured prokaryote. Its description in RNAcentral is "partial 16S ribosomal RNA". It matches the Rfam family "Bacterial small subunit ribosomal RNA", at positions 525 to 775 of the family's 1533-position model. The record is from RNAcentral.
ACAGAGGUGGCAAGCGUUGUUCGGAAUUACUGGGCGUAAAGCGUACGCAGGCGGCUGGGUAAGACAGGUGUGAAAUCCCCGGGCUUAACCUGGGAACUGCAUUUGUGACUGCCUAGCUAGAGUUUGUCAGAGGGGGGUGGAAUUCCGCGUGUAGCAGUGAAAUGCGUAGAUAUGCGGAGGAACACCGAUGGCGAAGGCAAUCCCCUGGGCCUGCACUGACGCUCAUGCACGAAAGCGUGGGGAGCAAACAG